RNAcentral lists this long non-coding RNA (1294 nucleotides) under Homo sapiens (human). RNAcentral's name for it is "HSALNT0297897". Lineage: Eukaryota; Metazoa; Chordata; Mammalia; Primates; Hominidae. The record is from RNAcentral.
AACAGCCUGGCCCUCUGAUGUUCCCCAGCCUUGGCGCCACAGGAAUGAAAACUUCUGGAGGAAUGGAGCGUGUCAUUGCAAACCUGGGGCACUGCGGAAAUGCAAAUGGAGAAAUUGCAAAGGUCAUCACAAAGUCAGGCUUGCUGCAGAAGAUAGCACUGUGGGUGAACAGGAGAUACCCAAAGCUCCAGCUUCUGGACUGACUUACUCCAUUUGCUACCUUCUAUAAGAAGACUGAGGCUCAGAGAAGCAAAGCAGCCCAUCCAAGUUUCCCCAAUGAACAUGUUUAAAUGGAAGAGAGAGGAAUGAGAGAGGAAGGCAAGAAUACAAAUAUUUAAGAAAGCUUUAUUUUCCUGAAGCAAAGAAUGACACUUGAAACCGAGGGAAUCUCAAUGUCCACCUUGCAUUUCCAUGACCAGCAAGAGAGGGGAACCCCUACAGGAAUGUUCAUCCUCUGCCUCUGACCUGGGAAGUCUCAGUCAUCCCCGAGGACCAAUUCCAAAUGUCAAUUCAUUCACCACCAUUGCCCUUGUCAUUGCAUCCACUCCUCCUCUCUCUCUGACUUGUGUUAAUGGUAGGUAACUGUGUAUGAAUCUAGGCUGGGGGUUUGUCUUUGAGGUCAAGGACUAUUUCUGAUUCACUGUGUGUCUCCCUAAAUCCUUCUUCCACCCAGCAAAGAUGCUCAAAAUAUAUAUACAAAUGAUAGCCCUUUGUCCUGUACCUUUUCUGAGCUUUGGAAUGUCUCUCUGUACUGAUAGAGCAUCAUGCAACAGACCCAGCAGAGGAGGAAAUAGCUGUGAGAUUAUCUGCCCAUUAUAGCAGGAUUCAAAGAAAGCUGCUUUCAUGCCAGGAAGCCAGGGGAUCGUAGUAAACGGCUGUCUUUAACCAAAGACAGGGAUCUUCCACUAUUAGGAGGGAUCUUCCACUAUUGAAAGUUGAGACCCUGGGACCCCUGUCUCAUCUAUCUCUGCCAUCAGACCUGCCGCUUCUCACAUAGUUGCAUAUGGACAAGAUGCCUCAUUUUGGUGUGCACUGGGAGAUCUGGCCUAUCCAUGAAACUCUCUCCAUUGGUUGCCUGUUGAAAGGGCUCCCUACCAAUUUGGUCAUAACACAGACCAAAUUGAGGAGGUUAAAAGAGAUCAAGUGUCUGAACAUGGCUUCUUUGGACUCUAGGAGGAGUUGAUCAAGUGUCACUCCAGUGCAUAUACUGUUUUUAUGCACAGUAUGGAUUUGAACAUCCUGGUGAGUGAGUCCAUGUUAACAGUAUGUUCUCAAGCAGGAAUAUGCAGCUCUA